GCCGAGGUGGCACAGCCCGGAACUGCGCGAGACUGGAAAUCUCGUGGGGAUUUUCCCCACAGGAGUUCAAAUCUCCUCCUCGGCG
RNAcentral lists this transfer RNA (85 nucleotides) under Thermoplasmatales archaeon. RNAcentral's name for it is "tRNA-Ser". It matches the Rfam family "tRNA". Rfam says of the family: Transfer RNA (tRNA) molecules are approximately 80 nucleotides in length. Lineage: Archaea; Methanobacteriati; Thermoplasmatota; Thermoplasmata; Thermoplasmatales. RNAcentral also lists the same sequence under 1 other name. The record is from RNAcentral.